This 406-nucleotide ribosomal RNA is filed under the name uncultured bacterium. RNAcentral describes it as "partial 16S ribosomal RNA". It matches the Rfam family "Bacterial small subunit ribosomal RNA", at positions 30 to 526 of the family's 1533-position model. The record is from RNAcentral.
AUUGAACGCUGGUGGCAGGCCUAACACAUGCAAGUCGAGCGAGCGGCGGACGGGUGAGUAAUGCAUAGGAAUCUGCCUGAUGGAGGGGGAUAACUACUGGAAACGGUAGCUAAUACCGCAUACCAUCAGAUGUGCCCAGAUGGGAUUCGCUAGUAGGUGGGGUAACGGCUCACCUAGGCGACGAUCCCUCGCUGGUCUGAGAGGAUGACCAGCCACACUGGAACUGAGACACGGUCCAGACUCCUACGGGAGGCAGCAGUGGGGAAUAUUGCACAAUGGGCGCAAGCCUGAUGCAGCCAUGCCGCGUGUAUGAAGAAGGCCUUCGGGUUGUAAAGUACUUUCAGCGGGGAGGCGUUACCCGCAGAAGAAGCACCGGCUAACUCCGUGCCAGCAGCCGCGGUAAUAC